GGGCAUAUGGCGGAAUUGGUAUACGCGCUAGCCUUAGGAGCUAGUGGGGGAAACUCCGUGAGAGUUCGAGUCUCUCUAUGCCCACCA
Molecule: transfer RNA, 87 nt
Filed under: Candidatus Doudnaibacteriota bacterium
Lineage: Bacteria; Candidatus Doudnaibacteriota
Description: Candidatus Doudnabacteria bacterium tRNA-Leu
Rfam family: tRNA
About the family: Transfer RNA (tRNA) molecules are approximately 80 nucleotides in length. Their secondary structure includes four short double-helical elements and three loops (D, anti-codon, and T loops).
Source: RNAcentral